AUGGCGUCGGUGACCGUUACGCCUCUUUCCGCGCCCGAACCCGAGCCCUCAGCUCGCCCCGACAACCUUCCCCGGCCCAGCGUGGCAAUUUCAUGGGAUACCCAAGCUCUAUGCAAGCAUGCGGAAACCUGCGAGUUGGGAUCAGAGGCAUUCCUGAUUGAUCCUGCCCUGCUUCCAACUCUAGAAGGUCUACUUCUAGAAACAUAUGCGAUGUUGCGCCCAAAGCCAGUUGAGUAUGAGCAACGACGUACUAUGAUAGACGUCUUCAACAAAAUUGCCAAAGACAUUUUUGGUAAAAAAGAUGAUUUUCCAGUUGUGGAACCGUUUGGGUCAUUCACAAUGGAUCUAUUUACUACUAAAAGUGAUCUUGAUCUCUCUGUCAACUUUAGCAAUGAUAUGGAUGGUCAAUUUGCUCGCAAGGACAAGAUUUCUGUUAUUAGAAAGUUCGCAAAAGUCCUACAUAAGCAUCAGAGCCGUGGUCGUUGUUAUGGGGUUUUACCUGUUUUAAGUGCUAUAGUUCCUGUACUGAAGGUUACUGAUAAGGGAACUGGGGUUGAAUGUGAUAUUUCAGUCGAAAACAAAGAUGGCAUGUCAAGAUCGAUGAUAUUUAAACUUGUUUCUUCAAUUGAUGAAAGAUUUCAGAUACUUUGUUAUCUGAUGAAGUUCUGGGCUAAGACACAUGAUGUUAAUUGUCCCAAAGAUCGAACGAUGAGCUCGAUGGCAAUUAUCUCCUUAGUUGCUUUCCAUUUACAGACCCGGCAUCCUCCAAUAUUACCUGCAUUUUCCGGCUUACUGAAAGAUGGUGCAGACUUUGCAAGUGUCCAGAGAAACGUUGUGCUAUUCAAGGGGUUUGGGAGCACUAAUAAAGAAUCCGUUGCUGAACUUUUUGUAUCACUAAUGAGUAAACUACUAGCAGUAAAGGAUUUAUGGGAGCAAGGGCUUUGUGCCAGCAAUUUUGAUGGAUUCUGGAUCUCAAAGACCUGGAACAGAGGAAUUGGUAACUUGAGUGUGGAAGACUUCUUGGACAGAUCUCAGAAUUUUGCCAGAUCAGUAGGGAAGGUGGAGAUGCAGAACAUCUGUGAAUGCCUAAAGGAUACUGUUUCCAAAUUGACUGAUUUCUUUAGGGGUAAAAUUGAUGCACUGACACUGAAGAUCCUCAUUUUUGGGGCGUUAAAUCAGGAUGUGCCAGUCAGUCACCCCAGUCCAAAACAUGUUAAGAGCAAGAGGAAGAGGGAGUUGCGACAUGACCCCGGAAACAGUGAGAAGCAGCAAAAGAAAGUGAAGCACGCUGCACAACGUGGCCGCGCUGCUAACAGGACUGAUUCUAUUUUACCAACUCCCACUGUAUUUAUGCCUCAUGUGCAUCAAGUAGGUUCUACCCAACCAUUUAAUCAGAUUGUGCAUCCAUCUCAGCUUCCGAUUCCUCCUCGGCUUUCCUAUGGGUUGCCACAAGCACACUUUCAUCCAGGUCCUCAUAUGAUAGGACAACCUCAUGGUAGUUUCAUCUACUCGACAGAUCCUGGGAUUCAACUGCAGCAGCAAGCCCGGCAUAUGUUUGUUCCUUUGCCAGUCCACCAGCCAGCGAUUAAUAGGUCGUUUCACCCCCAUGGUUUCAACGGGGCACAUGAGGUCCUGUAUGAUGACAAUAGCUGGUUACCUUACGGAAUCAAUCCGAAUUACAGGAGGGUAUGA
RNAcentral lists this ribosomal RNA (1692 nucleotides) under Triticum aestivum (bread wheat). Its description in RNAcentral is "partial small subunit ribosomal RNA". The record is from RNAcentral. Lineage: Eukaryota; Viridiplantae; Streptophyta; Magnoliopsida; Poales; Poaceae.